RNAcentral lists this ribosomal RNA (244 nucleotides) under uncultured bacterium. RNAcentral describes it as "partial 16S ribosomal RNA". It matches the Rfam family "Bacterial small subunit ribosomal RNA", at positions 29 to 263 of the family's 1533-position model. The record is from RNAcentral.
AACGAACGCUGGCGGCGCGCCUAAUACAUGCAAGUCGAGCGAGAAGACGUAGCAAUACGUUUGUAAAGCGGCGAACGGGUGAGGAAUGCAUGGGGUAACCUACCCUCGAGUGGGGAAUAACUAGCCGAAAGGUUAGCUAAUACCGCGUACGCUCCUCGGACUUCGGUUCAGGGAGGAAAGCGAUACCGUGGGUAUCGCGCUCUUGGAUGGGCUCAUGUCCUAUCAGCUUGUUGGGAGGUAACGG